Peromyscus maniculatus bairdii (prairie deer mouse) is the source of this 589-nucleotide non-coding RNA. NCBI's taxonomy places the organism in Eukaryota, Metazoa, Chordata, Mammalia, Rodentia, Cricetidae. The record is from RefSeq and is a predicted model, not a curated record.
UUUGCUUCCCCAGACACUGGUGAGAGUACAUCUUGCCUCAUCUCCUUGGAUGGCUACCUUGGAGAACUGGUCUACCCCCAAAGUCCACUGCUGUGAGCUCCACCAUGAGCCUGGGCACCAGCUUUAGAGGAAGAAAAAACUGGCUUGGAAUUCCAUACACACCACUGGUUUACUGUGUGAACUUAGAGCCCUUCAUGGCUGCUGGGAUAGACAUGGAUCCACCUGUAGCAGACUAUCCAGCAAGAUAAUGGUUGAGAGAGAACCAGGGAUGGGAUUGUGCCAGCUGGGAGUUCAUUCUAGAGUUGUGUGGAUGGUCAUUGUAUUUGGUCUAGCUGACAAACUCCUAUACGCCCUCCAAGAAUCCUCUCCUAAUUCUCCAAGAAAGAAUUUGUCUUUCAUCCCCGGAGUUUCCAGACUCUUGGAGAAAGGAAAGUGGAUGUGUCAGGCAUGGCCUCCUGUUUGCACUCCCAUCGCUGCGGAGCGUUCAGACCGAAGAGAAGCGAGACACGCUCACUUCUCUACUGACUGGGCUUCCUCAGGAGUCUCACAGGCUGGACCGGCAUCCGUAGGAAGGGCUGAGGUAAGACCU